UACGUAGGGGGCUAGCGUUGUCCGGAAUUAUUGGGCGUAAAGGGCUUGUAGGCGGUCUGUCGCGUCUGCUGUGAAAAUCCGGGGCUCAACCCCGGACUUGCAGUGGGUACGGGCAGACUAGAGUGUGGUAGGGGAGACUGGAAUUCCUGGUGUAGCGGUGAAAUGCGCAGAUAUCAGGAGGAACACCGAUGGCGAAGGCAGGUCUCUGGGCCACUACUGACGCUGAGAAGCGAAAGCAUGGGGAGCGAACAGG
Molecule: ribosomal RNA, 253 nt
Filed under: uncultured bacterium
Lineage: Bacteria
Description: partial 16S ribosomal RNA
Rfam family: Bacterial small subunit ribosomal RNA
Source: RNAcentral